Molecule: non-coding RNA, 18644 nt
Organism: Callithrix jacchus (white-tufted-ear marmoset)
Lineage: Eukaryota; Metazoa; Chordata; Mammalia; Primates; Cebidae
Source: RefSeq, a predicted model, not a curated record
AUGGUGCCCUAUAGCCUACUGGUGACCCAGCUGCAGAAAGCUCUGGGUGUGUGGCAGAACCAUGUGGGCUCAGUCCUGUGCCAAUGGGCCAAGGUGGCAGUGAGCCACUUUGAGCCCAACAAAUACAUCCACUAUGACCUGCUAGAGAAGACAGGCGUGGUGGUGCACGCCUGUAGUCCCAGCUACUCUCUUGGGAGGCUGAGGCAGGAGAAUCACUGGAACCUGGGAGGCAAAGAUUGCAGUGAGCUGAGAUCACACCACAAAACAAAACAAAACAAAACAACAAACAUUGAUCUGGGGCUCUCAGCAGCCGUGGCCAAGCAGGCACUGGCCCAUGGCCUCAAGUGCAAGUCCCAGUUCACCAUCACUCCAGACGCCGAGCAGAUCCACACCACUAUUGAGCCGGACAGCUCUGCACAGGUCUUGAAGGAUGAGGGCGGAAUCGUCCUGGCCAAUGCUUCUGGCCCCUGCAUUGGCCAGUGGGGCAGGAAGGACAUCAAGAAGGGAGAGAAGAAUACAAUUGUCACAUCCUACAACAGGAACUUCAUGGGCCACAACAACGUGAACUCUGAGAACCAUGCCUUCAUCAUGUCCCCAGAGAUUGUCACAGCCCUGGCCAUUGUGGGAACCCUCAAGUUCAUCCCAGAGACCAACUACCUGACAGGCAAGGAUGGUGAGAAGUUCAAGCUGUAGGCUUCGGGUGCAGAUGGGCUUCCCCAAGCAGAGGUUGACCCAGGGAAGGACAGCACCUCCCCCCAAGGACAGCAGCAGGCGACACAUGGUCGUGAGCCCCACCAGCCAGCACCUGCAGCUCCUGGGGCCUUUUGACAAGUGGGAUGGCAAGGACCUGGAGGACCUGCAGAUCCUCAUCAUGGUCAAAGGAAAGUGUAUGACUGACCACAUCUCGGCUGCUGGUCCCUGGCUCAGGUUCCAUGGGCAGUUGGACAGCAUCUCCAACAACCUGCUCAUCGGUGCCAUCAACACUGAAAAUGGCAAGGCCAACUCAAUGCGCAAUGCAGUCACCCGGGAGUUUGGCUCUGUUCUUGACACCGCCCUCUACUAAAAGAAACAUGGCAUAAGGUGGGUGGUGAUCAGAGAUGAGAACUACAGUGAGGGCUUGAGCCAGGCACACACAGUGCUGGGGUGACCUCGGGGGCCCAGCCAUCAUCACCAAGGGCUUUGCCAGGAUCCACAAGAGCAAUUAUCAAGCACCCCAGUGGGACCCAGCAGACCAUCCUCCUAAACCACACCUUCGGUGCCAGCAGUGCCCUCAACAGAAUUAAGGAGUUGCAGCAAUGAGGGUGGCACCUCCUGUUCCCACCCCCCGCACCCAGUGCUGGCAUCAUGUUCAAGUUCAGUUCCAUGUGCCCCAUCAGCAAUCCGAUCCAUCUAGCCAUGACUUUUUUUUUUUUUUUAAUGGAGUCUUGCCCCAUUGUCCAGGCUAGAGUGCAGUGGCACGAUCUUGGCUCACUGCAACCUCCAUCUCCUGGGUUCAAGCAAUUCUCCUGCCACAGCCUCCUGAGUAGCUGGGAUUGCAGGUGCCCACCACCAUGCCCAGCUAAUUUUUUGUAUUCUUAAUAGAGACAGGGUUUUACCCCAUUAACCAGGAUGGCCUCGGUCUCCUAACCUUGUGAUUUGUCACCUUGGCCUCCUAAAGUGCUGGGAUUACAGGCGUGAGCCACCACGCCUGGCCCCAGCAUGGCUUCUUAUCCCAAGAUGGUGUGACCAGACAUGCUUCCUGCUCCCUGCUCAGCCCACAGAGUGACUGUGGGUGGGUGGGUGAGGGAGGGUUCUUAAAAUAACUUUCUUGCCCCUGCCUUCCUAUUUUCAGUUUGGUUCAGAUCUUAAGCAGCGCCCUGCAACUGUAUUUUUGAUGACAAGACUCCCAUCUAAAGUUUUUCUACUGCCUGAUCAUUUCAUUGGUGGCUGAAGGAUUCUAGAGAAUCUUUUGUUCUUGCAAGGAAAACAAGAAUCCAAAUUUAAAAAAAAAAACAAAAAAAAAGAGGCAGAUUCAGCAAGCUGCUGCAGGGAGGUGUUGAGGGCAGCUCUGUGGAGACUGCACAUAACCCCAUGUGGCUAAAAUAUGGCCCCGAGUUUGCUGCAGUGUGAACGUGCAGGGUGAGAGCAGUAGAGAUGUCAGUGGUGGGCACAGCAGCAAGGGUAUUCGACCUCCAGGUGAUUGAUAGGAAGGGUUUUACUCCUUAGAGGGCUCCACACCCCGGAUGCAGAGCCUUGAGCAAGUGAAGCACCCGGUCCAGGGAUGAUCCGGCCUUCACUCUGCCUUUACACAUUCGAAUGACAAGUUUAACCACACGCAGUUACCCUGCAGUGUAGGACCUGGCCCAGCCAACAGAACAGAGCAGGAGCUCUGGGAGGUGCUUGAUGAUUGCACCAUAUGAUUUGGAGCCCCACAGAUAUAAACUCAAGCUCUGGUUUUGCCAUUCACGAACUUCUGGCAACCCUCAAUUUCAUCGUCAAGCGGGGAUAAUGCUGGGAUCCGUGGGUUGAGCUGCUGUGAGAGUAAAUGAAGCGUUGCUUGCAAAGUCAUGGUUAGCAAAGCAGUCCCACGGUGGAGCGUUCAGGGCCACGAGUGGAUGGGGGCACCGGACUCUGAAAUUCUCAUCCAGGUCCCUUCCUGUGUCGCACACAUGUCAGCAUGUGGCCGGGCACGGGAUACCUGCCUCAUGAGCCGCGUGUUCAUUCAGGAACUAUUCCAACCUUACAUACCAGGACCUGGGGAGGACAAGAUGCUUCCCCUUAAUGGAGCUGAUAGCCUGGUGGGGAGAUAGAUGGUAGUUAAAUGAUACGGUGAAUGUAUAGAUACAACGACAAGCGUCUCAGAGGGGAACUCUGUGUUCUAGUUGGGGAGGUGGAGAAAGCAUUUCUUGGUGUGUUAGUUUCCCAGCACUGUCGUGACAAAGUACCACAAACUGAGGGGCUUGAACCAACAGGAUUUUCUUCUUACAUUUCUGGAGGCUAGAAGUUCAAGGCUGAGGUUAAGGAGGGCCAUGCACCCUCUAGAGGCUCAUGUCUCUAAAUAAAUAAUCGUUCUAUAGAAUUGUAUCAAUUUAAGAAAAUGUUCAGAAUAGAUUUACAAGCAAAAUUUGAAAAGGUAUAUAUACGUGUGUGUUGAUUUGUGUAUGGAAUAAGACAUACAAUUUUUUUUAAAAAAUAGACUCAAAUGCUAACAGUUAUCCAGGUGGUAGGAUUACGAUUUUUUUUUUUUUUCUUUCUUUCUAUCUGAAUUUUUCUAUGUUUGCUGCAUGGAACCAUUAUAAUUAAUUUUAAAAAGCAAAUACAUUUAUUUCAUUUUUUUCCUGAAAACUGAAAACAACUGUUCAUAAGAAGGAGGCCCCUUCCUGGCCCUUCCCAGUAUCUGGCUUUGCUAGACAUUUCUCGGGUGGUGGACGCAUCACUGCAGUCUCUGCCUUUGGUGUCACAUGAUUUUCUCCUCUGUGUCCCUGUCUGUGUGUCCAAACAUCUCUUUCCUUAGGAGAACACCAGUCAUUGGAUGUAUGUUCUUCCCUCCUCCAGCAUGGCCUCAUUUUCACCUGAUUAUAUCUGCAAAGACCCCAUUUCCAAAUAAAGUCACUUUUUUUUUUUUUUUUUUUGAGAUGGAGUCUUGCUCUGUUGCUGGAGGGCAAUGACGCGAUCUCAGCUCACUGCAACCUCCACCUCCCUGAUUCAAGCAAUUCUCCUGCCUCAGCUUCCUGAGUAGCUGGGAUUACAGGUGCCUGCCACCACGCCUGGUUAAUUUUUGUAUUUUUUUCAGUAGAGAUGGGGUUUCACCAUUUUAGUCAGGCCUUAUGGCACCUGACCAUAAGGUCACUGUCAUAGCUACUGGGGGGUUGGGACUUCAAUGUAUCUUUUGGGGGAACACAACUCAACCCACAUCAGUUGGGGAAAUGAAAUUUGAGUCAAGAUCAACAGCUUGAGAAAGGCUUAUCUAGUCAAAGAGGUCAGGAAGCAGGUUCUGGGCAGGAUGUGGCCUGUGCGAAGGUCCUGGGGCAGGAGGAGCACAGCACCUACAAAGCACUGAAUGAGGGCAGAGAAAGGGAGGGGCUGUGGGCACUGAUUAUCUGUAGGAGUGAAAGAGUUGCUAGAUUAUGUUGUUUUUGUAUAAAGGAUCACACAGGACAGGUCUUGUUGCUCUGUCUGAUAGGAUUGUGCCAUCUAAGCUGCCCAAUCUGCUUUCCUGCUGUAUGCCUUAUACCAGUUCUUUCCCCAUCACGUGUCAUUCAGAGCAAGGUGCAACAGCAAAUGUUUCUGAACUGGGAGAACCUGGGAGGAUGAUGUGGCCUGCCUUGAGCUCAGCGCACAGGCUCUGCCCCAGACACCACACCUGUGUGUCCGCAUUCCCUGCAGAGCUGAGUGCCUCCUGAGGCUGGGGGGCAUAUUGAUGUUAAUAUUUGUACAUUCAACAUUUCAUGAAAUGUUAGGCACAUCAGAGGAGUUUUAGGUGUUCGCUAGAUGUUACUGACUUAGAUAAUUUCAGGGCAUGGCCAAUUCCAUCUCAGGGGCAUUAUUUCUCCUGUCAGUAACCACAUCCUAGAGAAGUUGUUAAGCAUCCGUCUAAUUCAAAGAAAAAUGGGUAGGUGGUAGGAGUUGGGAGGCAGGGGUGGAGGAAAGCCAGCUUGCUAAUCAGAAUGUCAGUGAAGGCUGGGAGUGGGGACUCAUGCCUGUAAUACCAGAACUUUGGAAGGCUGAGGCAGGAGGAUCACUUGAAGCCAGGACUAGCCUGGGGAACACAAUGAGACUGUCUCUACAAAAAAAAAAAAAAUUUCUUUAAUGCAUUAACCAGGUGUGGCGGCGCACGCCUGUAAUCCCAGCACUUUGGGAAGCUAAGGUGGUCAGAUUGAGCCCAGGAGUCUGAGACCAGCCUGGGGACCAUGGCAAAACCCCAUCUCUACAAAAAAUACAAAAAUUAGCCAGGUAUGAUGGUGUACACCUGUGGCCCAAGCUACUUAGGAAGGUGAGGUGGGAAGAUCACAGGAGCCCAGGGAGGUCAAGGCUACAGUGAACUUUGAUGGUGCCACUGUACUCCAUUCUGGGUGACAAAGUGAGAUCAUGUCUCAAAAUAAAUAAAUAAAUACAAAUAAAAAUUGUUCUUUAGAAUUUUAUUGAUUUAAGAAAAUGUUCAGAAUAGAUUUAUUUAUUUAUUUAUUUAGAGAAAGAUUCUCACUCUGUCACCAGACUGGAGUGCUGUGGUGUGGUCUCAGUUCUCUGCACCCUCCACCUCCCAGGUUCAAACAAUUCUCCUGCCUCAGCCUCCCGAGUAGCUGGGACUACAAACGCCUGCCACCAUACCCAGCUAAUUUUUGUAUUUUUAGUAGAGACAGGGUUUCAUCAUGUUGGCUAGUCUGGUCUGGGACUCCUGACCUCAUGAUCUGCCUGCCUCGACCUCCCAAAGUGCUGGGAUUGCAAGUGUGAGCCACCGUGCCCAGCCUCAGAAUAGAUUCAUAAGUAAAAAAUUAAAAAGGUAUAUAUACAUGUGUGUUGAUUUGUGUAUAAAAUAAGACAUACAAUUUUUUUUUUAUAACAGACCCAUAUGCUAACAGUUAUCUAGGUGGUAGAAUUGCAAGUGGUGUUUUUUUCUAUUUCUGAAUUUUUCUAUGUUUGCUGCAUGGAAUCGUUAUAAUUAAUUUUAAAAAGCAAAUAUAUUUCAUUUUUUCUCGAAAACUGAAAACAACUGUUCAUAAGAAUUUUACAUGUACAAGAUGAUAUACUAUGUAGUCAUUAACAAUAAUGUUUAAAAAAUAUUCCAUAAUAUGAUAAAAUAUUCAUGGUAUAUUUAGUGGAAGGAAUAGUUUAUAUAAAAAUAUAUGGGUUUUUUGUUUUGUUUUGUUUUGUUUUUUGAGACAGAAUUUUGCUCUUAUUGCCCAGGCUGGAGUGCAAUAAUAUGAUCUCAGCUCACUGAAACCUCUGCUUCCCAGGUUCAAGUGAUUCUCCUGCCUCAGCCUCCCAAGUAGCUGGGAUUACAGGUGCCCACCACCAUGCCCAGCUAAUUUUUUGUAGUUAGUAGAGAUGGUGUUUCACCAUGUUGGUCAGGCUGGUGUUGAACUCCUGACCCGAGGUGAUCCACCUGCCUCAGCUUCUCAGAGUGCUGGGAUUACAGGCUUGAGCCACCGUUCCUGGCCAAUAUACCAUAAUUUUUUAAAGGACAUUUAUGAAAAGACUAUCAAUAAGACUGAUGUAAUACUUAUAAACUGUGAGAUUACAGGAGAUUCAUAUUUACUUCUUUAUACUUUUCUGUAUUUUCCAGAUUUUUAAUUAUGAAUAUGAAUAUCAAGCUAUAAUAAGAAAAUGUAUUUAAAAAUCAGAUUAUAAAAUUGUUCAGGUUGUCAUGGCCAGGCAGGGUGGCUCAGGCCUGUAAUCCCAACACUUUUCGAGGCUGAGGUGGGCAAAUCGCUUAAGCCCAGGAGUUCAAGACCAGCCUGGGCAACAUGGCAGAACCUUAUCUCUACAAAAACUACAAAAAUUAGCCAGACAUGAUGGUGUACACCUGUCAUACCAGCUACUAGGGAAGGCUGUGGUGGGAAGAUUGCUUGAGCCCGGGAGGCAGAGGUUGCAGUGAGUCAUGAUUUCACCACUGCACUCCAGUGUGGGCAAAAGAACAGGACCCUGUCUCGAAAAAAAAAAAAAAAAAAGUCAGGUUGUGAGACAGUGGUUUUGUGGGGUUUUUUUUGUUGUUUUUUUUUUUUUAGAGACAGGGUUUCACCGAGUUAGUCAGGAUGGUCUCGAUCUCCUAACCUCAUGAUCCACCCGCCUCAGCCUCCCGAACUGCUGGGAUUACAGGCGUGAGCCACCGCUCCUGGCCUGACAAUGGCUAUUUUACAUUUUAUUCCAUGGUUUUCUAUACUUUCCAAAUUCUUCUCAAUAAAAAAUGAUUUCAUAUUGUAUUAAUUAGUACAAUGCAAAAUCAUAAGAUCAGGGGACACUAAGGGUGGUCUACCUCGUGAUCCUCUAAUGCGUAGCAUUUCACCCAGGGUUUUCACGUGCAGUUUCUCAUUUGGUUCUUGGAGGACCCUGUGCCCAAGUGAGGAUGGUGGUGCUGCUUCUGAGAAGUUGCUGCCUCCUCUUCUCCCUUUUGCCUCCCCCGCAAAAGAAGACACCUCGAUUGUGGGGCUGCAGUCAGUUCUGACUCCCAUAUCUUACAGCACUUGGCAGGGACCAGCCUGGACCCAUUACCUGAGUGGGAUGUGGCCUCCUUUCUCUCUGAGCUUUCCCUACACCUCAAACUCUUGAUCAAUCAGCCCCUUACCUCUCCAAGCUUUCAGCACAUGCCUCUCUGCCUCAACCUUCUAAAUAAAUAAUCAACACCUGCACAAAACACUGUCGUUUUCAGUAAGCUUUUCUCCCCCUUUAAUCAUGCCUAUAAUCCCAGCACUUUGGGAGGCCAAGGAGGGUGGAUCAUGAGGUCAAGAGAUCGAGACCAUCCUGGUCAACAAGGUGAAACCCUGUCUCUACUAAAAAUACAAAAAUUAGCUGGGCAUGGUGGUGUGUACCUGUAGUCCCAGCUACUCGGGAGGCUGAGGCAGGAGAAUUGCUUGAACUCAGAAGGCGGAGGUUGCGGUGAGCCAAGAUUGUGCCAUUGCACUCCAGUCUGGGUAACAACAGCGAAACUCCGUCUCAAAAAAAAAAAAAAAAAAAAUUAUGGUAAAAUAUACAUAAGACAAAAUGUAUCAUUUAAAUCAUUUUAAUUAUACACUUCAGUGCCAUGAUAUAUGUAAGUCAAAAAGUAUCAUUUAAAUCAUUUUAAGCAUAAAAUUCAGUGCCUAAUAUGCAUAAGGCAAAAUGUAUCAUCUAAAUCAUUUCAAGUAUACAAUUCAGUGCUCUAAUAUACAUAAGACAAAAUGUAUCCUUUCCUGUGAUACACAUAAGACAAAAUGUAUCAUUUAAAUCAUUUUAAGCAUAAAAUUCAGUGCCUGACAUACAUAAGACAAAAUGUAUCAUUUAAAUCAUUCUAAGUAUACCAUUCAGUGCGGUGAUAUACAUAAGACAAAAUGUACCAUCUAAAUCAUAUGAAGUAUACCAUUCAGUGCCGUGAAGUCCAUUCAUGAUGUUGUUGGAACUGUCACCUCCACCCAGCUCCAGGACUUCCUAAUCAUCCAUCUGAAAGCUUUUGAAUCCAGUCUCAACGCAUUUUAUUGCUGUUCCCAUUGUCAGGUGAGGAAACAGAGGCUUUCUUCCUGACCUCGCUUUUGUGUUUUCUGUUUAGCACUUGCAGUCUGGCUUUUGCCCAUGGCUGCCUUAGAACUGAUCCCCUUCAGGCUGUCAAAGACCUUCUGGGGGCUGAAUUUCAUGGGCUGCUUCCUGGUUUUGUCUUAUUUCUGGUCUGUAGCAUUUGACCAUCUUGUUUUCCAGUCACUCUCAGAAAUGGUCUCCUCCUGAGGUUUCCAUAACACUCUCCUGAGUUUCCACUGCUACCUCUUGGGUCUUGUCUUGUUCCUUUCUUUUCAUCUUUUUCUGUUUGAUUGUUUUGUUUCUUUUUGGUGUUUUGAGAUGGAGUCUCACUCUGUCACUCAGGCUAGAGUGCAGUGGUGUGAUCUCAGCAACCUCUGCCUCCCGGGUUCAAGCGAUUCUCCUGCUUCAGCCUCCCAAGUAGCUGGGAUUACAGGCACCGGCCAUCAUGCCUGGCUAAUUUUUGUAUUUUUAAGAGAGAUGAGAUUUCACCAUAUUGGUCUGACUGGUCUCAAACUCCUGACCUCAGGUAAUCUGCCUGCCUGGGCCUCCCAAAGUGCUGAGAUCACAGGCAUGAGACACUGUGCCCAGCCUCUUUUCAUUUUUUAAAAUCAGUCUCCCCUUUUUAUUCAUUUAUUUUUAAAUUAGAGACAGGGUCUCACUAUGUUGCCCAGGCUGGUCUCGAACUCCUGGACUCAAUCAGGGUCUUCUCUUCAGGCUUCUCCUUCUCCUGGCUCAGGAACUCAUCCUUGCUCCCUAGAACAUUUCAAGAACCACCUGCCUGGGUUCCCUGUCUCUGGCUUUGCCAAUUAGACAAGUAUGAUCUUUCUACCAGGGAAAUGUGAUCCUGCCCUCAAGUCUACGAGUGCAGCCUGAGCUGACAGGAUAACAUCUAACCUCCUUAGUUAGGUAUAGGAUGUCCCUUGUCAUCUGGCCCUGGUGACCUCUAACAUUAUCCUCACCCCACCCCUUGGCAGUCUGCAGUAGAACCAUCUGCAUUCCCAGUGCUGGAACCCAGGCUGCCCCAUGCCUCCCUGUCUCUGCAUAUGUGGUCACUCUAUCCUAAAAUUUGUGAUGUAGUCGCCUAUGUGUCUGUCUAUCUCCAUAUCAGGGCAAGGUCCUGGAAGUGGGUUGAGGAGGGAGGAAGGCGGAUCUUGCUUGCCCUCUUUAUGUCUCAGUGCUUAGUGUACCUUUUUUCUGGACAAUAAAUAAAUGUGUGCUACUCUAGAAAAGAGAUCAAUGUCUUGAUAAGGCGAAAAUCAGCAAGGGGCAGAGCAAGGACUGGACAUCAGGACUUGGUAAUUUCUGACCCUUCCCACUAUGUAAGCAUCCUUUCUUUGGAGGGACCUCUCAGGGUGACAAAGCAUUAGAGGAAAUGCACGCAGUCUCUAUAUGUUCCUCAGAGUAAGUGUUGUAAUCCUGGGCUGGAGUAGAGAGACUUCUUAUGGGGGGCAUUUUAAGGAGGGUGGAGAGUGGGGAUGCUCUUCCUGCCUCCAGAUCACAGACUACAAGAGCUUGCUGCUUCAGAUGAGCUCACACAAGACAGAGAGGCAGGCGGAAUGGUGCGGCUGAAAGACAUCUCUGCAUCAGAAUGCUUGGGUCCUGGUUUUUUUCUAGAUCUGCCACUGACUAGCCAAUCUCAGAAGGCUCAGCAGCCUUCAUGUGUAAAACAAAGGGGUAGUUUCCAUGUCUUUCAACCUGAAAAUCCAGAAAGUGGGAACAUCUGUGUUUAAAGAUUGUUCAACAUUUUUCAGAUUAAACUGAUCCACACUUUCCAAGGUAUCAAGGUAGUGGCUGCAUCCUCUCCUGGUGCUGGGAAUCAUAGACUUCACCCUUCACCCUUGACCGUGACCUGAUUCUAGAUGAUUGUUGCUGAUAGAAAUGUGCAAGUCAUCCAAGGUGCUUCUCUAGAGGAAAUAACUUUAGUUUCACUCUUGAUUUUAACUAUGUUUAUGUUGUGAGUUGAAAUAAAUGGCCUUAAAGUUAAUUCAUUGAGGAGAGAGCGAUUCUGCCUAGAGUUCUUUGAAAGCUGGCUAUGCUGAGUGAGAGCCUAGGGCACUGCCGAGAGUGGGGAGGGAGGGAGGCUGGUUCCUUUCACAAACCCCGCUGGUCUCCUUAGCAGUUGUGUGUGGUUUCCACCCAACCCACCUAUCACUUGGUUAGGACUGCUAAUUAGGGGGCAGAGAUGUGGACAGCUAUCUGUAGCCCUAAAGAUGGUUAUUAACCAGGAGGCUGAGCCGGUGGUUGCAGCUGACACUGGAAAUUCACCCAGCUCCGUCCCCGGGAGAUGGGCCAUCCCACAUCGUAGACGGCUGUGCGCCACAGGCAUUUCAUUCUCCAAAAGCCUACAUUCAUUUAAUGUUUCCAGCCACAUAAGAAGUAGGAAACAUAUGACUUAAUUUCCAGAUUAGAAGACUGAGGAUCGAACAGAAAAAAUAACUUGCCCAAUGUUACCCAGCUGGCACGCAGAGGAGCUGGGAUUCAACACCGGUGUGUCUCUCUCCAUAACACAGGUCUACCCACCUCGAUUCCUUGCCCUGUCAGGCCUUCUCCAUUUUUCCAUCUGCUAAAUAAGUCACACCUGGUUUCGUCUCUCCUUCUUUCUUCCCCUAACCCAUGACACACUCUCUCUCUCUCUCUCUUUUUUGUUUUUGGAGAUGGAGUUUCGCUCUUGUUGCCCCGGCUGGAGUGCAGUGGUAUGAUCUCGGCUCACUGCAACCUCUACCUCUGGAGUUCAAGCGAUUCUCAUGCCUCAGCCUCCCAAGUAGCUUGGAUUAUAGGCAUGUGCCACCAUGCUUGGCUAGUUUUUGUAUUAUUAGUAGAGAUGGGGUUUUACCAUGUUAGCCGGGCUGGUCUCGAACUCCUUCCCUCAGGUGAUCCACCCACCUCGGCCUCCCAAAGUGCUGGGAUUAUAGGCGUGAGCCACGGUGCCCAGCCAUAUCCCAUGACUCUCUAAAGCACUCUGUGGUUGUUUCUGGGUUAUUUUCACUUCUCCAACUACGAGGUAAGUUUUUUGGGGUCAAAAAGCAUGUUUUCUACUUUGUUUUCAACUUAUCCCAAAUUGACUGGUACCAAGCUGGGCACAUAAGACGUGUUUGGCAGUUGAUGAGCCAACAGGGAGCCCACGUUGUGUUAUAAGACCACCGGCUUUGGGCUCAGGGAAUGAAUCCUUGUCUCAUACAGUCCUGUCUACGCCUCAGCAGCCCUCUCUUAGCUCGGCAAUCUCACAGAAUGUCACUGAGCCAGAGCCUUCCCUGACCACCAAGCCAAGUGCUCCCCUGGCUAUUCCUUCCUGUGCCAUCCUUUUUCCUCUUUCAUUGGACUUACUACAACGUGUACUCAUAGGUUCAUUUGAGUAUCUACCUUAUUUUCUCCACCAAAAUGUGAACCCCAAGAAGCCAUGUUCUUUGAGUGACUGAUAAUAGAAACUCCAUUACCAACUUCUCAAAGGGCCAACCACAGAUGCAGUGAAGAGGGUUCCGAAUGAGAAAUCAGGGACCUGGCCUGUGUUCAGGCGCAGUCCCCAGCUCACCGUGGGGUCGCAUCCACACGCUCUCUCUUGGCCUCCGUUCUUUACUUGCAAAACACAGAUGGUGGGUCUAGUCCCACGUACUCUCACAGGCUCUUGCCUGAGGAAGUGAAAUCAUUUAGCCUUGCCGUGUUGUUCAAAUCAAGGCCUGAUGCCAGCAGGACUAGUUCUAAGCCCCUUGAGGAAGGGCUCAUGUCUGACAACCACUCCGUCUCUCUCUCCCUCUCAACAUAAUUUUUGUGAAUAGGCCAAGUAGAUAUACAACUCAAAAAUAUAACAAUAUACAAAAUGCAUGCAGUGACAGUGCUCCCUUAUUCGUCUGUCCUCACCUCCCCAGGUCCCACCCUUAACCAUUGCUAUUAGUUUCUUUCAUAGGGUUCCAGAGUUUCUUUAUAUUUUAUUUUUUUAUUCUUUUUUCCCAAGAUGAAGUCUUGCUUUGUCACCCAGGCUGGAGGGCAGUGGCACUAUCUCAGCUCACUGCAACCUCCACCUCCCAGGUUCAACUGAUUCUCCUGCCUCAGCCUCCCGAGUAGCUGGGACUACAAACGCCUGCCACCAUACCCAGCUAAUUGUUGUAUUUUUAGUAGAGACAGGGUUUCACCAUGUUGUCCAGGCUGGUCUCAAACUCCUGAACUCAUGAUCUGCCCACCUCGGCCUCCCAAAGUGCUGGGAUUAUAGGUGUGAGCCACCACACCUGGCUUUUUUUUUUUUUUUUUUAACAUUUUUGUGGGUACAUAAUUGAGGUACAUUUAUAUGGGGUACAUGGGAUAGUUUGAUACAAACAUGACAUGCACAAUUGUAUCAUGGAUUAUUGAGUAUUCAUCCCCUCAAGCAUCUAUCUUCUCUGUUACAAACAAUCCAGCCACAGUCUUUUAGCCAUUUUAUUUUAUUUAUUUAUUUUUUGAGACAGAGUCUCACUCUUUUGCCCAGGCUGGAGGGCAGUGGCACGACCUUGGCUCACUGCAACCUCUGCCUCCCAGGUUCAAGCAAUUCUCUUGUCUCUUAUAUCCCAAAUAGCUGGGAUUACAAACAUGUGCCACCAUGCCCAGCUAAUUUUUGUAUUUUUAGUAGAGACAGGGUUUUGCCAUGUUAACCAGGCUGGUCUUGAACUUUUGACUUCAGGUGAUCCACCUGCCUCAGCCUCCCAAAUUGCUGGAAUUACAGGCAUGAGCCACCGCCCCUGGCCGCCAUUUUAAAAUAUACAAUUAAACCAUCAUUGACCACAGUCCCCAGUGUGUGAUCAAAUUCUCAGUGUUCUUCACUCUUUUUUCAAUGUUCCAGAGUGUCUAUAUUCACCUACAAGUAAUCAUGAAAGCACUUCCCCCACCAGAUCAUGUCUUACCCUUGCAAGCUUUCCAGCUGUCUUGUUCCAUGUACAACACCAAGUAAGUCUUUAGCAAAUUCAAUACAUUUAGUAAAUCUGUUGAUGAAUUUGAUUAGCUAAAUGAUCUUGUAACCAACACACUGGGCAAGCAACAAUGUGAGUUUGCAAUGUGCCUUAAAGACAGAUGAAAACGCAGGCGGAACGGGGCCUGCUCCAGCCUAUCAUCCUCUCCCUGCACCCUUCCUGCUCCGGUCUGAAACCAAUCCGGAUACCUGAGCCUUGUUUUGUUUUGCUUUUCUUGGGAAAUGUCAAUGUAAGGACCAAUGAAGGUCCUUACAAGGAUAAUAGGGGUUACUUCCGGACUGCAUGAAAAGUACAUAGAACUGAGCCUGGCACAAAGAGAGAAGCCAGUGAGGACCAGGAAUGAUGGUCACAGGCAAGCUCACCUCCUGCCGCCACUCACCUCGGAUGACCUGGUAAGCUUGUGUUACGGGCUGGAUAUUUGCCUGGGAUUUACAUGUCAAAGCUCUAACCUGCAGUACCCAGAAUGUGACUGUGUUUGGAGGAUGGAUGGAGGUAAUUAAGGUAAAAUGAGGCUAUCAGUGUGGGUCCUAAUCUGAUGUGACUGGUCCUGACAAGAAGUGGAGAUGAGGAUACUGACACGUGCAGAGGGAAGCCGGUGUGAGGACACAGGGCAGGGUGGCCGUCUGCAGCCAAGGAGAGUGGCCUCUGGAGAAAGCAGCCCUGCCAACACCUUGGCCUCGGACUUUCAGCUUCCAGAACUAGAGAUCGGUGUUGUUGAAGCCUCCCAGUCUGGGGCACUUUGCCAUGGCAGCUCAAGCCGACUAACACUCCUUGCUUAGCCCUGCAUUUCUCAGAUAUAUUCAACUAGAGAAGUUGUCUUGAUUGUUUAGAGCCAACCCCUGGGCCAUGCUGCCACAAAGGCAGAGGCUGAACCAACUGCUUGUCAAGGAGUUUCCAUCUAGGAAGGGGUGAAGGAGGCUUCACUCUAGAGGGGGCCCAUGGCCCUGUCCCCAGGAAUUCUCCAGCUACGCCUGGGGGUGGAAGCCGCCUUCCUGCCUACUCUUUUGUUGUUGUUGUUUAAGAGCUGGGGUCUCACUCUGUCACCCAGGUUGGAGUGCAGUGGUGCAAUGACAGCUCACUGUAGCCUCGAAUUCCUGAGCUCAAGCGAUCCUCCUGCCUAAGCCUCCUGAUUCACUGGGACUGCAGGUGCAUGCUACCAUGCUGGCUAAUGUUUUUGAUUUUUUAUAGAGACGAAGGUCUUGCUAUGUUGCCCAGGCUGGUAUCAGAUUCCUGACCUCAAGCCAACCUCCCACCUCAGCCUCACAAAGUGCUGGGAUUGCAGAUGUGAGCCACAGACCUGCUCUCCUGGCAGGUCUUUGAAAAUGCAUGCAGGGCUGCAGCAGCCACAGCCCUGCGGGGGGGAGAAGCCCCACUUGGGGGUUGUCGGGGAGCAGGCAUCUGCCAGAGAUUCUGCCUAGUUUUGGCACAUCUUAGGCCAACCUGGGCAUUGAUUCCUUGGCUAAUCUUUCUUCCUUUCUUGCUGAAGUUAAGAGAUGUGGUUUAUGAUGUUUGUAGCUCAGACAGCCUUGACUGAUAGUCUCUACGGAGUCAGAUCCUGACGUUCAUCUACUCUUGAUCAGUGACUCCUGCUGCGGCUCUGGCCUGCCUCUCACUCCUGCAGUAGUGCAGGGCACUGCAGGGCCACUCACAUCCUCUGGUCUGGAAGACCAGACGACUUCUUCCAAGGGUGGUGACAGCUGCUCAGAUUCUCACCGAGAGCCUGGGGCUCCCUCCUGUGGGCUUCUGUGGCACCAUUUGCCCAUGGUUAUUUAACCACAUGGCACAAGGGUGGAUGUGUGUCUGUCUUAGGUUAUGAUCUGAGAUACCAAAAUAGACACCCCUGGCCGAGAAUGGUGACUCAUACCUGUAAUCCCAGCACUUUGGGAGGCCAAGGUGAGAGGAUCCCUUGAGCCUAGGAACUCAAGACCAGCCUGGACAAAAGAGCCAGGUGUGAUGGUGCACACCUGUAGUCCCAGCUACUUGGGAGGCUGAUGUGGGAGGAUCACUUGAACCCAGGAGGUCAAGGCUGCAGUGAGCCAUGAUUGUGCGGCUGCAGUCCUGCAUGGGUGGCAGAGCAAGACCCUGUCUCAAAAACAACAUGAAACAAAACAACACCAAAAGAGACACCCCUUUACCACUAAGACAGACCCUAAGGUUCAGGAGCCAAGAGUUACCAACAGGUCGAGGGUUCAAAGUUUGGCUGCCGGGGCAACUUCUUAAAUUUCUACAGGAAAAAACAUAUUCUUGCUAAACUCCCUAACCACAGGAGCUAGCAGGCACAUUACCCUCACUCCGACUCACAACCCAGCCCACUACAACUCUGACUGGACAGAGGACCAUCUUACAAACACUCUUUCCUGAUAAGCAGCUGCACACUCCAAGCCAGUUCUAGUCACGUCUAGAGACGCCACAUAAACUGUCUGUGUCCUUUAGGUUACCUUUGACAUAAAGAGCCAAAUUCCACCUCAUUUUCAUCUAGGGCCCCCCACAAAGUGAACAUGGGAUGUAUGUUACGUAUAUGUUUACCUAUUGCACAUACACUGGGCUCCCCUCAUAAAUAUGUAUUGAUUUAGCCCCAAAGUUACUGAAUAUGCAUGACGCUAUUGUGUAACACAGACCCUGUGAGGCCUAACACACAUCCUGCCCUUUCUCUAUUUGAAGAGACCUUCAGUCCAAAGUAGAGACCAUCUCUUCCCAGUUUGUAAACUGAUAUCACCAACAAACCUCUCCCUCCUUUUUUUUUCUUUUUUGAUGGAGUCUUGCUCUUGUCACCCAGGCUGGACGGCAGUGGUAUGAUCUCCACUCACUGCAACCUCUGCCUCCUGGGUUCAAGCAAUUCUCCCUGCCUGAGCCUCCUGUGUAGCCUGGUUUAUAGGCACCUGCCACCAUGCCUGGCUAAUUUUUGUAUUUUUAGUAGAGACAGGGUUUUGUCAUGUUGACCAGGCUGAUCUUGAAUUCCUGACCUCAGGUGAUUUGUGGGCCUUGGCCUCCCAAAGUGCUGGGAUUAUAGGCUGAGCCACCACGCCUGGCCCAAAGCUCUCUCCUUUCAACCACAGAGCCAUCUUGGUGGUCUUUGGAUGGCAGGCUCCUUGAGGCCCAGGCUGGUGUCAUAACAUCUCUGGAGCCUCAGCACUUGUCACAGUGGUCACUGUGUUCUGCCUUUAACCAAUUGGCGAGGUCCACGUGCUCCCAGCCUGCGGGGGCUUGUCAGUGCUGUGGCACAAUCUCAGCUCACUGCAACCUCAAACUCCUGGGUUCAGCCUGGGUUCAGCCUCCUGAGUAGCUGGGAUUACAGGCAUGCUCCACCACACCCAGCUAAUUUUUUUGUAUUUUUAGUAGAGACGGAGUUUGGCCAGUUGGCCAGGCUGCUCUCGAAUCCUGAGCUCAAAUCCUGCCUCAGCCUCCCAAAGUGCUGGGAUUACAGGUGUGAGCCACUGUGGCUGGCCAGCACUGACUCUUUCACAGCUCACUAUUGCAGAGUCAGGAAGGAUCCCGACCAAGAUGCAACCUCCACAGCAGCUCAGAGUUCAAUAAAAUGCCAUUACUCGAGCAGCACUUACUGGAGCGGAACAGAACCGGCUGCCCACUGGCCCUUGGCCUCGCUGCCCUCACUGGAAGGACCAGAGUCCAGAGCCUGGCUGCAUAUUCAAGGACACCAGCCAGACAGUUCAGCAUCAGCAGGGGGUUGCAGCUCAUAAGGUCAUCGGGCCCAGGGCCCACUGCUGUGGUCGUGGAAUCAGCUGCGAUGUCAUCCCAGGUUGAUGACCUAGUCUGGACAGGAAGAGCUGUGGGUAUCGCCGAGGCUGUGCUUACGGUGCAUCAGUGGCACAGCACCUGUGCAUCCCAGCAAAGCCCAGAGUGACCCAUUUCUCGCCUCAGUAGCCGGUAUCAGCAUGCCAGUGGCCUGUCUCCUUCUCUGGGGCCCCAGUCCUUUCCAGAAAUUCACCCAGCUUGCUGACAAGAGACUGUGCAGGUGCUGCUGUUACCUGGUGGUGGGCUGUCAUCGGACAGCUGCAGAUGAUCGCCCUGAGGCUUGGUUGUGUAGGUUGUCAAGCAGAAGGCUGGCAAUAUUCCCACAGCCCGGAUGUGCUGAGGCAGCAUACGUGAGUCAGGCCACGGCUGCUGCAGCCACAGUGUGGCUUUGUGCUGUGAUCGCCUGCAGAGAGGAGCGGCCACUCACCCAUCCACUGACUCCUAAUUGCUUCUUAUCACCUAUAAUUCCCUUUCUCCUGGGAAAAGCCCUGCAAGUUCCAGGCUUUCCCCUAUGCUGUUCUGUGGAUUCCUUUUGGUUGCUUUCCCAGUAUGAGAUCCAGCAUUAUUCCUUUUGAAAUUGUAAUCCCUGCUGUUUUCCCACAUAGAGAGUGAAACUAAGAGGCACUUUUUUAAGAAUCUGCUUCCAAGUGCUCUUGGACCAAGUUUAAGUUCCCUGUCUACUCUAGCAGGCUCUGUCUAUUCCCAGGGCAUCUGUCUGAAGUGGGGCCUCUUCUGGCCAAAUCCUACCAACCAAGACCUGGAUCUCCCAGAGCUCAGAAAGCUCCCACUAGCAGGGGCCCUGUUUUCCUUCCUGCUUCCUUUCUCUCCCCUUGUCCCCUGGUCUCCAGAUGAGAAGACACAGAUGGCGCUUGUCCCAAGAAGACCUUCACUUGUGCUGUGGGCAGGGAGGUCACUCUUCCCUUUCUUAGCACAAAGCAGUCACUGUGCUCUGCCUUGCAGAGGGAAAAUGCAAAUGGUGCUCUGGGUGUGGCCGAGUUCCUGGGGGCCCCAAGUGCCGGGGCUGCAUUCUUUAUGCGACAGCCUUUUUCUUCCCUUUCUGCAGGCUGGGCCUGAAAUAUGAAGAUUACUUAAAACUCAUACUAUGCCAGAACAUGGACAUCACAACAAAUUGGGUAAUGAGUGUCAACUCAAAGACUAUUUAAGAUUAAUUGUUGCACAAGAAAACCUGAAAUGCCCUGGAAGCUUAUGGACCAUAAAUGAAAGAAAAGUUCAGCACAACGUCCUCAAGCUUGAAAAGAAUCCUAAGACUUCAAGACUAACAAAGAGAUGUGAAGCCAAAACUCUCCUGAACUUUAAUAACAAAAACAAGGUGUGAUAAUUGUGCAAGUGAGAUGAACUAUUUUUCUAUUCCCUCUACAGGAAGAUAUUAUUGCAGAAUCAUUAUUUUUGCUGUUGUUUGUUUUAUUUUUUAUUUUUAUUUUUAGAGACAGGGCCCCCCUCCCCCAGGCUGGAGUACACGAUCAUAGCUCACUAUGGCCUCGAACUCAUGGGCUGCAGUGACCCUCCAACCUCAGCCUCCCCAGUAGCUAGGACUAUAGGGCAGGCAGAAUCAUUCUUCUGUGAAGAGAGAUAUAUACAGCCCAAAAAAUGCAGAGAAAGGAUGUUUAGAGGUACCUCGGGCAAUUUCUAAGCAAAAAUAUUGCAUUAUUCUUUUGAGUUUUAUGAUAUUCGUAGUAUUGGUCAGUUUCUGAAACUUCAUAAUUUGUUCCAAAUAAAUUUCUUGUUCUAAAUAAAUAUUCACUUUAGUACUGA